UGAGGGUUGAUAGGUUAAGAGCUAAUUAACUGGACGUUACCCACAGAAGAAGCACCGGCUAACUCCGUGCCAGCAGCCGCGGUAAUACGGAGGGUGCGAGCGUUAAUCGAAUUACUGGGCGUAAAGGGUGCGUAGGUGGUUUGAUAAGUUAACUGUGAAAGCCCCGGGCUUAACCUGGGAGGGUCAGUUAAGACUGUUGGACUAGAGUAUGGGAGAGGGUAGUGGAAUUUCCGGUGUAGCGGUGAAAUGCGUAGAGAUCGAAGGAACACCAGUGGCGAAGGCGGCUACCUGGCCUAAUACUGACACUGAGGCACGAAAGCGUGGGGAGCAAACAGGAUUAGAUACCCUGGUAGUCCACGCUGUAAACGAUGUCAACUAGCUGUUGGUCUUAUGAAUGAGAUUAGUGGCGCAGCAAACGCGAUAAGUUGAC
Molecule: ribosomal RNA, 430 nt
Filed under: uncultured Legionella sp.
Lineage: Bacteria; Pseudomonadati; Pseudomonadota; Gammaproteobacteria; Legionellales; Legionellaceae
Description: bacterial SSU rRNA
Rfam family: Bacterial small subunit ribosomal RNA
Source: RNAcentral